This 428-nucleotide ribosomal RNA is filed under the name uncultured bacterium. RNAcentral describes it as "bacterial SSU rRNA". It matches the Rfam family "Bacterial small subunit ribosomal RNA", at positions 355 to 775 of the family's 1533-position model. The record is from RNAcentral.
UCGAGAAUCUUUCGCAAUGGGCGAAAGCCUGACGAAGCGACGCCGUGUGUGUGAUGAAGGCCUUCGGGUUGUAAAGCACUUUCGCUUGGGAGCAAGAAAGGUCGGCUAAUAUCCGGCCAAUUUGACUGUACCAGGUAAAGAAGCACCGGCUAACUCCGUGCCAGCAGCUGCGGUAAUACGGAGGGUGCAAGCAUUAAUCGGAUUUAUUGGGCGUAAAGGGCGCGUAGGCGGAAAGAUAAGUCAGAUGUGAAAUCCUGGGGCUCAACCUCAGAACUGCAUUUGAAACUGUCUAUCUAGAGGGUAGGAGGAGAAAACGGAAUUCCACAAGUAGCGGUGAAAUGCGUAGAUAUGUGGAAGAACACCGGUGGCGAAGGCGGUUUUCUAUCUUAUUCCUGACGCUGAGGCGCGAAAGCAAGGGGAUCAAACAG